This 77-nucleotide transfer RNA is filed under the name Aeromonas veronii. RNAcentral's name for it is "tRNA-Val". It matches the Rfam family "tRNA". From Rfam's summary of the family: Transfer RNA (tRNA) molecules are approximately 80 nucleotides in length. Their secondary structure includes four short double-helical elements and three loops (D, anti-codon, and T loops). Lineage: Bacteria; Pseudomonadati; Pseudomonadota; Gammaproteobacteria; Aeromonadales; Aeromonadaceae. RNAcentral also lists the same sequence under 1 other name. The record is from RNAcentral.
UGGUUUAUAGCUCAGUUGGUUAGAGCACUACCUUGACAUGGUAGGGGUCGUUGGUUCGAAUCCAAUUAAACCCACCA